Molecule: unclassified non-coding RNA, 756 nt
Filed under: Hevea brasiliensis (rubber tree)
Lineage: Eukaryota; Viridiplantae; Streptophyta; Magnoliopsida; Malpighiales; Euphorbiaceae
Source: RNAcentral
UAUGCAAUGAGAAAUGUUAGUUCAUUGCUUCUAAUGAUAUUGUUUGAAGGGCUUGUUUAUUAUUGGCCUGAAACAAGUUUUUGCCAAAGAGGGUAUGAAGGGCAUGUGCUAUUUGGGUCAUCUUUUAUGGUCUCAAUGGCAAGGUUGCAACAAAGAGUGGCAAAUGAGAUGGACCAAAUUGGUGGACAACCAGGAAUCCUGCUUUAUGAGUUUAGACAAGCAAAAAUUGCCAUGGAAGAGCUAAAAGUUGAUUUAGAAAGUAUUAUGGAGUAUGAAUCAGAACUUGAGAUCCAAGACAAAGUUGACAACUUGAAGAAUUGCUUUGGGUUGUUGAGAUGUGGGGUUGAGACUAUAAUUGGGCAGCUUGAUGAUUUCUUUGAUGAAAUAGUUGAAGGAAGGAAGAAGCUUUUGGACAUGUGCACUCACAGGUAGAGAAAGAGAAGAGAAAGGAGAAUUGCACAUGAACAACCAUAGCUAGGUAGCUAGAGGGAGAGCUAGCAAAAAAAGGUGAAAAGAACUAAAAAAUUUCUGUUGCUGAUACUGUUAUCGUUCCUAAAACUCACUAAUUAUCAGAGAAUCAGAGUUCAACUUCAAUACCAUCAAAUAAUUUAUCAUAUAUGGCAUUAGUGCUCCUCUUUUUUUCUCAUUUUUUAACCUUUUUUACAAGUUUCCGUUUCCUUUUCCUGUUGAAGGCACUUUGUUUUGCAGCUAGAAUAUAGUUUUGAGACAGAUGGGGGCUUUUCUGCGGAAACCCAG